This 2834-nucleotide long non-coding RNA is filed under the name Glycine max (soybean). RNAcentral's name for it is "long non-coding RNA (GMAX_LNC004153)". The record is from RNAcentral. Lineage: Eukaryota; Viridiplantae; Streptophyta; Magnoliopsida; Fabales; Fabaceae.
UUCAAAUGACCUCUCCCUUCUCUCUUCAACCCCCAGCCAACCUUGUAACUCCUAUAUGUGUUUAUAUGUGCUGUGAAGUUUGUGACUUUAUGUUAAUUAAAGUGCAUGUGCAAGCAUAUAUUUGUAAUUUUCUUUUUUAAUUCUGUCACACUGUAAUUCUAAUUUUCUUUUUAAAAGGGAAUUAUUAUAAAAAUCAACUAUAUUAUAUUAUUGAACAUGGCAAUUCAUCAUUGGAUGACAAGGUACAGUGCAUUUUUAACUAAAUUCUUGUUUUUUUAUGAAUAUAUUUAGUUAAAUUUUGGUCAUUGGGGAUGGAAAUUGCAGUGAUGGUUUUUUUAAAAUGAAACUUGUCCCUAAAUAUUUCACUCCCUACCACAAUAUGGAGGAAAUUUACUGAUCUUGUAUAUCAUGUAUGAACUUGCAUUUCUUAAUCUUUUGGUUUUUGUUGUUAGCUGUAGAUGCACCUUAAAUAGGUUGUGUUUUAUUUGGAAACAAGCAUGAGGCAUCUUUUAUGCAAGAUUGAACCUACUUAUAUUAACUAUCCUCAUAUUUGAGGAAGAAAAAGGCUGUGAUGCAUUUUCCUCUAAACUGGUAGAGUUAGUGAUUCUGUCAUAGUGAAUGUAACAAAAGGAGAGCAAAAUUUUUUAACCCUAAAAGGCUUGGCAUAGUUUGUUUUGUGGUCACCUUUACUAUGUCUAUGUUCUUUUCUUUUUGAUAGGAAGGUAAAUUUAUUAUAGAGGAAAGAGAGUGAGAAAAUUCCAACUAAAGAAUGGAUAAAAUUUUCCUGAAACGGAGAAAACAAGAUAAGAACUAGAUAGAAAAGAAUCAAGAGGGCAGCCUACAAAUAUCUAAGAUGACAACUCCCUUGAAAUUGACAUGAUUGAAAAGUCAAAAGACUAACUUAUCACAUAAGAAGUUGACAAGUAUAGACACCUUCAAUGCUGCAAGCAUUUUGCUUCAACAAUUUGUGCCAAAUGAUAGCUGCACACUCUGACAAAUUUUUCAAUUCCUGCUUUUUUAUUAAAGCCUCUGUAGAUAACCAUCAAGUACUUACCUAAGGACACAAUCUAGUUCUCAUGAAGAUCAAACAAAUUGUUUCAUAGAAAAUGACUAGCAAUGUAGAAAUAAGUGUCCAACAGUUCCACAGCUUGCUUAUGCAUUAACGCAGAUCAGGGGAUAGGGCAAUGUAAGGUGUAUCAAUAUAUUCCAGAAAAAAAUGGGAUGGACCUAUUUUGAAUCUUAUGUUAUAAAUUUUGACAGUAUUGGCUGAUUUUUAUGAUAUUAUGUUAUGUCAUUGAGGGGCAAGUAGCUUUUAGUUUCAGAGCUGAGGCAGAUAACUCUAAACUGGAUUUGUCAUGUCAAGUUUGGAAUGGUUUGGUUUGCAAAAUGGAGAACAUAGAGUUGAUGAUUUCAUUUUGUUUACCUGAAUUCUGGAGAACAGCGAUCAAUACAGAUUAAAUCUCCCAUACUAUUAAAAUGUUUUAUAGUAGUGUACCAAUUGAGAUAUUUGCGUAAUUAUAUUAUCUAGUUAUAUGGAACCAACUGCCGUAUUGAUGAUAUUUCAGAAAGUAAUAGAAUGCAUUCUUGCAAAUUGUAAGAAUAAGGAGCUUGUCAAAUGAUCUCUUGAUUCUGGUCAUGCUGUUUAUCCUCAUUGUUUUCUUAUGUAUUAUAAUAUAAGAAGAGGACACAAUGGUUGGAGACUCUGAAUUGUGGACAUCAAUCGCUUUUUAUAAUAUAUGAUACUUCCAUCUGUGUGAUUUUUUGUCUGGUGUUGCUAGAGUUAACAACAUUAAUAGAUGUAGGCUUUGUAUUUUCGGUUAUGUUUGACUCCAAAUUCCUGCAGUCUGAUCAGAGUAUCUUAUCAAUUUUUUUACCCUUAGAAAAACAGAAUUGAAAGGGCUUUUUCCUUUCAAUUUGUUGAUUUCCAUGUAUGUUCGCUAACUAUCUAGCUCUAAGACACUUUCAUGUAUAAAUGAGUGUUGUCUCUUUGCAUAUUAUACAGACCUCUUUCUGAAAAACUUUUGUGCUCUUGGUUUGUUGUAUUUCCAAUCAUUUUUUAUUAACCAUGCUCAAGAAAUAGGAUUUCUGUGACUGUAGUUCUGUGCUCUGUGCUUACUUUUUCUUCUUCAUCUAAAUGUUUCCGAGCUUGCCAAGGUUAUCUGCAUUUGGUGAGCCUGUUCCUUUUUUUUUUGGUGAAGUUGGUGAGCUUGUUGUGUGAUUUUUUGUCUGGUGUUGCUAGAGUUAACAACAUUAAUAGAUGUAGGCUUUGUAUUUUCGGUUAUGUUUGACUCCAAAUUCCUGCAGUCUGAUCAGAGUAUCUUAUCAAUUUUUUUACCCUUAGAAAAACAGAAUUGAAAGGGCUUUUUCCUUUCAAUUUGUUGAUUUCCAUGUAUGUUCGCUAACUAUCUAGCUCUAAGACACUUACUUUCAUGUAUAAAUGAGUGUUGUCUCUUUGCAUAUUAUACAGACCUCUUUCUGAAAAACUUUUGUGCUCUUGGUUUGUUGUAUUUCCAAUCAUUUUUUAUUAACCAUGCUCAAGAAAUAGGAUUUCUGUGACUGUAGUUCUGUGCUCUGUGCUUACUUUUUCUUCUUCAUCUAAAUGUUUCCGAGCUUGCCAAGGUUAUCUGCAUUUGGUGAGCCUGUUCCUUUUUUUUUUGGUGAAGUUGGUGAGCUUGUUUCCUAGUGUUUAGCUAACCAAACUUUAGCUGUUAUUAAUUGAUGCCACACAAAACUUUGGUGUCUAAGAAAUUAAUGUUAAUAUUAUUUUAAGUUGUUGAUUUUACAAUCAUCUGAUGCAGCGCAGACUGAAAUUUAGAGCUUUGUGCAUAAAUAAU